This 479-nucleotide ribosomal RNA is filed under the name uncultured bacterium. Its description in RNAcentral is "partial 16S ribosomal RNA". It matches the Rfam family "Bacterial small subunit ribosomal RNA", at positions 28 to 507 of the family's 1533-position model. The record is from RNAcentral.
GACGAACGCUGGCGGCGUGCUUACAACAUGAAAGUUAAACAAAAUUUUUCGGGGUGUUUCCUUGGGAUUGACCUGGAAAAAGGAAGGAGCGAACGGGGUGGGAACACCUUAGAAACCUUGCUUUCACCAAGGGAUAGCCCCCGGGAACCGGGGUUAAUUCCCUAUUAAACCAAACACCCGCCUGGGGGGAUGGUUAAAGAUUUAUCGGUGUUAGAUGGUCUCGCGUCUGAUUAGCUAGUUGGUGGGAUAAAAGCCUACCAAGGCAACGAUCAGUAGCCGGAUUGAGAGGUUGAACGGCCACACUGGAACUGAGACACGGUCCAGACUCCUACGGGAGGCAGCAGUGGGGAAUUUUGCACAAUGGAGGAAACUCUGAUGCAGCGACGCCGCGUGAGUGAUGAAGGUCUUCGGAUUGUAAAACUCUGUCCUUAGUGAAGAUAAUGACAGUAACUAAGAAGCAAGCCCUGGCUAAAUACGUG